This 77-nucleotide transfer RNA is filed under the name Candidatus Bathyarchaeota archaeon. Its description in RNAcentral is "tRNA-Thr". It matches the Rfam family "tRNA". From Rfam's summary of the family: Transfer RNA (tRNA) molecules are approximately 80 nucleotides in length. Their secondary structure includes four short double-helical elements and three loops (D, anti-codon, and T loops). Lineage: Archaea; Thermoproteati; Candidatus Bathyarchaeota. The record is from RNAcentral.
GUCCCGGUGGCCCAGUCGGUUAGGGCGUCCGUCUCGUAAACGGAAGGUCGGCGGUUCAAAACCGCCCCGGGACUCCA